RNAcentral lists this ribosomal RNA (468 nucleotides) under uncultured bacterium. RNAcentral describes it as "partial 16S ribosomal RNA". The stretch from base 58 to 468 matches the Rfam family "Bacterial small subunit ribosomal RNA", at positions 39 to 507 of the family's 1533-position model. The record is from RNAcentral.
GGGGGGGGGGGGGGGGGGGCGGGGCGCGGGGGGGGCGGGCGGGGGGGCCGGGCUGGGGUGGGGUGGGCGGGGGGCGGACGGGGGAGUAACGCGUGAGUGGCCUGCCCUUGACUUUGGGCUACCUUCGGGAGGCUGGGGGUAGUACCGGAUAGGAGCUGCUGCUGCAUGGUGGGGUUGUGAACGUUUCGGCGGUUGGGAAUGGACUCGCGGCUUAUCAGCUUGUUGGUGGGGUAGUGGCUUACCAAGGGUUUGACGGGUAGCCGGCCUGCGAGGGGUACCGGCCACAUUGGGAUUGAGAGACGGGCCAGAAUCCUACGGGAGGCAGCAGUGGGGAAUAGUGCACAAUGGGAGGAAGCCUGAUGCAGCAACGCCGCGUGCGGGAUGACGGCCUUCGGGUGGUAAACCGCUGUAGCCUGUGACGAAGCGUGAGUGACGGUAAUGGGUAAAGAAGCGCCGGCUAACUACGUG